RNAcentral lists this ribosomal RNA (206 nucleotides) under uncultured bacterium. RNAcentral's name for it is "partial 16S ribosomal RNA". It matches the Rfam family "Bacterial small subunit ribosomal RNA", at positions 1299 to 1500 of the family's 1533-position model. The record is from RNAcentral.
UGCAGGCUGCAACUCGCCUGUAUGAAGUCGGAAUUGCUAGUAAUCGUGGAUCAGCAUGCCACGGUGAAUACGUUCCCGGGCCUUGUACACACCGCCCGUCACACCAUGAGAGCCGGGAACACCCGAAGUUUUCCGUAGUCUAACCUAUAUGGAGGACGCGGCCGAAGGUGGGUUUGGUAAUUGGGGUGAAGUCGUAACAAGGUAAC